This 490-nucleotide ribosomal RNA is filed under the name uncultured bacterium. Its description in RNAcentral is "partial 16S ribosomal RNA". It matches the Rfam family "Bacterial small subunit ribosomal RNA", at positions 30 to 507 of the family's 1533-position model. The record is from RNAcentral.
AUUGAACGCUGGCGGCAGGCCUAACACAUGCAAGUCGAACGGUCACAGGAAGAAGUUUGCCUCCUUGCUGUAGCGUGGGGGACGGGAGUGUAAUGUCUGUGACCCUGCUUGAUGGCGGGGGUUACUUACUGGAACCGGAAGCAAAACCCGCAUAACGUUGCAAGACCAAAGUUGGGUAGUUUAGGGCGUUUUGCCAUUGGCUGAGACCAGACGGGAUUAGCCAGUAGGUAGGGUAACGGCUCACCAAGGAAAAGAUCCGUAGCUGGUCUGAGAGGGUGACCAGCCACACUGGAACUGAGACACGGUCCAGACUCCUACGGGAGGCAGCAGUGGGGAAUAUUGCGCAAUGGGCGAAAGCCUGAUGGAGCAAUGCCGCGUGAAUGAUGAAGGCCUUCGGAUCGUAAAGUACUGUUAGCAGGGAGGAAGGAAGGUGUGUGAAAACCUGCGCGUAUUGACGUUACCCGCAGAGAAAGCACCGGCUAACUCCGUG